ACGCUCGACACCUACGAGAGGCAGCAGUGGGGAAUAUUGCACAAUGGGGGAAACCCUGAUGCAGCGACGCCGCGUGAAGGAAGAAGUAUCUCGGUAUGUAAACUUCUAUCAGCAGGGAAGAAAAUGACGGUACCUGACUAAGAAGCCCCGGCUAACUACGUCNCGCAGCCGCGGUAAUCUGAGCGGGCUGGCAAGGC
RNAcentral lists this ribosomal RNA (197 nucleotides) under uncultured bacterium. RNAcentral's name for it is "partial 16S ribosomal RNA". It matches the Rfam family "Bacterial small subunit ribosomal RNA", at positions 328 to 539 of the family's 1533-position model. The record is from RNAcentral.